CCUACGGGCGGCAGCAGUGGGGAAUAUUGCACAAUGGGGGAAACCCUGAUGCAGCAACGCCGCGUGAGCGAUGAAGGUCUUCGGGUCGUAAAGCUCUGUUCUUAAGGAAGAUAAUGACGGUAUCUAACGAAUAAGCCCCGGCUAACUACGUGCCAGCAGCCGCGGUAAUACGUAGGGGGCUAGCGUUAUCCGGAAUCACUGGGCGUAAAGGGCGCGUAGGUGGGUUCGUAAGUCAGAGGUGAAAGGCUAGGGCUAAACCGUAGUACGCCUUUGAAACUGGUUAACUUGAGUACAGGAGAGGAGGGUGGAAUUCCUGGUGUAGCGGUAAAAUCCGUAGAUAUCAAGAGGAACACCAGUUGCGAAGGCGACUCUCUAGACUGUAACUGACACUGAGGCGCGAAAGCGUGGGGAGCAAACAGGAUUAGAUACCCUAGUAGUC
This 439-nucleotide ribosomal RNA is filed under the name uncultured bacterium. RNAcentral describes it as "partial 16S ribosomal RNA". It matches the Rfam family "Bacterial small subunit ribosomal RNA", at positions 338 to 795 of the family's 1533-position model. The record is from RNAcentral.